RNAcentral lists this non-coding RNA (45 nucleotides) under Schistosoma mattheei. The record is from RNAcentral. Lineage: Eukaryota; Metazoa; Platyhelminthes; Trematoda; Strigeidida; Schistosomatidae.
AUUCAUCUGACGUAUCCCAAAUAGGACGAAACGCGUGUCCUGGAU